This 253-nucleotide ribosomal RNA is filed under the name uncultured bacterium. RNAcentral describes it as "partial 16S ribosomal RNA". It matches the Rfam family "Bacterial small subunit ribosomal RNA", at positions 524 to 776 of the family's 1533-position model. The record is from RNAcentral.
UACGAAGGGGGCUAGCGUUGCUCGGAAUCACUGGGCGUAAAGGGUGCGUAGGCGGGUCUUAAGUCAGAGGUGAAAUCCUGGAGCUCAACUCCAGAACUGCCUUUGAUACUGAAGAUCUUGAGUUCGGGGAGAGGUGAGUGGAACUGCGAGUGUAGAGGUGAAAUUCGUAGAUAUUCGCAAGAACACCAGUGGCGAAGGCGGCUCACUGGCCCGAUACUGACGCUGAGGCGCGAAAGCGUGGGGAGCAAACAGG